UGUAAUUUGCAUGCCUGUGCACGUUUGAUGCUUUUCUGGCAUUCUUGAUAAGAUGUAUUGAUAUGCCUCACAACACUUGCAUAUUUUCUGUUCUUCUUUUUUAUGCAGUUCUAUUUCGAUGAAUGACUGAUUUAACAAGUUAAUUUUAUCACUUGAUUUUUAUCACAGUUCAAACACACUUUGGUUUUCACAGUAAAAUCAAACUUAACUUUUGAUCAUGUAUUUUAAUCUAAUGAAACUAGUACAUUUCUUAUAUUUUCUGCAUUUAAAUGUUACUGAUUUGUAUUACAUACAAAUAUAACAGAAGGCCUAAAGAGGACAUAGUGGAUUGAAGUAAUACAUAAGUGUGUUAAACGUAAAAAAAUAAAGCUAAUUGUUGGUUGCUGAACUUCAGUGAUGUGAAUUUUAAUCCACAGGACCAAAAAUUCAAAUUCAAAAGAUUCAAAAGAUUCAGGUUCAAAAUCCAGUGCCGACCAGAAAGUGUCCAAAGUUCGUUUCCCGUCCCCCAAAAGCCAGCCCAAAUCCUGCAAUUACCAAGAGGACCUUGAUGACGGGGACGAUUACAUGAACACUGCCGACGUCAACAUCUAUGGAAACAUAUGAAAAAACACCAAAAGAUUCUAAUCAUGCUCAUAAUGGUCAUCUGUAUUAAGAGCAUCUGAUGACUGCAGUUUUUAUACACGACUACUGUGGUAUUCUCUGUUAUCAAGCAAACUAUAUUUGAUUCUCUCUUUGAUAAUUUCAUCAAUUAUUUAGGGAAAGUAAAAUUCAUUGGUAAGUGCAACUUUGUUCAGCCAGAGUACUUGUUUGUUUUCACCAUUGUUAGUGAUUUUUCCAAUGAGGUUUUCAAUCUUAAUAAUGCAAAGCAAACCAUCAGGUGUCUGGUUCCAUAUUUUUCUUGGCAAAAAGGUGAAUUGUAUUAAAUGUAUUAUUAUUGUAAGUGUAUUUCCCAAAAUGUUAAAUAAUUAAAAAUAUGACCUCAUAAUGGGAAAAGCCAAAAAGCUGUAAACAGGACCUAUAUAUCAUGGGUAAUUAUCUUCCAGCAUCUAAAUACAGGUCAAAUGUUUUUAUACAGUAUAUUAGCAAUAUGUAAGAACUCAGUAUGAUAUGGGUUAUUGAUUUUAUUGUACAUUUUAGAGUGAGGUUUCUUCAACUCAUGAGUGGUUAGGGACUUCAAAAGGUGCUGAAACGCUUCAUAAACUUUCAACUCUUGGGGUAAGUCAUUCUGAUAUUUUCGAAUUAGUGAAUAAAAGAAGCUUUUCUUUACCUUGCAUUUUACAACUGUAUUAGAUGAAAAACUGAAUUUCAAAUUAAUUUUCCCAAAAUAUUGAUUUAUGUAACUAUGGUGACAUCAUUGCUUCUUUGAAAUUCUAAUAGAACGGCACAGAGUUAGAUUUUUUCAUUCCAAAUCUGAGACAGUUAAGUUUAAGUACAGGAAACAGAUCUUGCAUGUUGCUAAAAUAUCCGUCUCCACUUUACAAUUUACUGUCUCUUUUUUACUCAAAAUAAAUCUUUAGGAUGAGAUUAUAAUUUUCUUGUUGCCCUUAGUCCGUCUCAGGAGUUUUCUGAAAUGGAGAAUGUUUUUCUGGACUACAACAUCAACCUUGUUCUGCUUUUAUAUACCAUAUUGCCACAAAUUAACAUUGACUGACCUAACUUUAGAACAUUUAAAACUUGAACUGCUUUAGAAACGAGCAACUAUCUCGGUAUGUUGAAAAAUGCUUUCUAGGCCUAGAAAGGUGUCUUUAUUUAAAAUAGUUUUCAGGUUGUAUUUUUCUUUCUUUCUAUGGCAAACCAUGUAUCAGAUUAAGUAAUCUAUAUGUAUUCUUUGCAACCCUUUUUUGUUAUUGCUACCUAUUUUGCCUGUAUUUUUAUUAUAAAUAAGUUUUCCCUGUUUUAUUUUGAAAAUAAAUACAUCAAAGAUUGAAUUUGCUAUUUUUCCAGCACAUGCACAUGACGUAGCAGACUCUCAUUGCGUUAGUAUAUACAUAUAUAUCUAUCGGUAUGUAUGAAAUCACUUGAUAUUUUGGGCCAUUUAUGUACAGGAUGUAAAAUGCAUGUGUGCUCUCUCUUUUUUCACAUUGUCUUUUUGGGUUUGUUUUUCUUUUAUCUAUUCUGGUUCAAUAGUCUUGGCCUUUAAACUGUUACUCCGCCCAAAUACAGCUGCAGACAUUCACCCUCUGUACAUCUUGUAGUUAUAGAAUUACAGUCUUUUUAGUAUGGGUAUAUGCAAUUUUUUGAGCAGAGGCCUAAAAAUAGGCUCAGAGCUUAAAAGGUUAAGAAGGCGUACAACCAGACUUUCGUUGACUUUGCUCGGGAUAAAAUUAUUAUUUUUGAUUGUUGGUGUAAAGCAUGUAACGCUGACGAACUAGCCUCUGUGUGUGAACUCAUUUUAGAAGAAAUAAAAAAUUGGUUGCCUGAG
Molecule: long non-coding RNA, 2422 nt
Organism: Anarrhichthys ocellatus (wolf-eel)
Lineage: Eukaryota; Metazoa; Chordata; Actinopteri; Perciformes; Anarhichadidae
Exons: 3
Source: RefSeq, a predicted model, not a curated record